UUUUCACCUAAAAAUGAGACUCCAGACCUGCUGACUUCUGCCACUUCACACCAGUUCAAUUCUCAACUCCAGCAGACACCGCCUGGCACCUUCCCUGUAGUGGGAGCUUCUCACUUUUGUCCAGAGUAGCUGAGGACCCUUUAAACAGCAAACUGCAGCUGUCCAUCUAAGGUGCUGUCCUUGGGUUUUCUGCUUUGUGUAUGUUUAAGUUACAUACAUUUUUCCAUGUAUUUCUCACAUAUACUUUUAAAAGUUUAGGCUCUGUCUACUCUUGCUUUUCAAACUGAAGUGGUUCUUUCUGCUCUAUACAUUCUCCUCCUUCUUGGAACACAAGCUUUUUGUAAACUAUAAGGUGUGGGCAACAAGUGUGAUUAAAUCUAGCUGUGGGUGUGCUCACAUCAGAGCACACUUGUUUUUGUGCAAGUGGCAUCAGUGACUGAGAGCUUGUGCAGCACCUCAGGUAGGACAGAACAAGGCACAGUCUGAGCCAUCAGACACUGCCCACUCCUAUUUUUUGUGAAAGGGUGAAGAGGCAACACACUCCUCACAGAUAUGCUGAUAAACAGAUUUCAGUCACAGCACAUCACUUGAUCUGCUAUAAAUGCCUUUUGGGAAGUGUCCGGGUUCAGCUGAGAGCCAUGUUGAGGCUUAGGACCAGGAUUUUUUUUAAUAGAGACCCAAACCUUAGAGAGAACACCUAUAUUUGUCAAUGGAGUAUAUAUGGAGUCCAUUGUUAUUAAACUAAUCUGGUUAACAAAACCCACAGCUUUUUCCUAAAGACAGAUUCAGAGGAUUUAAAGUUCAGGGAGAAUAGCACCUUCUGUCCUUGCCCUGCCUCACUGGCAUCCUGUUGGGCAGAUAGACCCUUGGUAGUACUGUGACACUGACUGCCUUUUGGACUGGUAGGAAGAAAAAGGAAAAGAAUAUUUAGAGGAGGCUGAAGUGUUCAUGGUAGGGAACAGGAGAAGAAACCAGGCCUUGUUAGUAGACGCAGAAUCAUCCCCAUGAGUGGGUUCACCUGCUUUCAGCUCAGCUGAGAAGGGUCUUUGAAAGCCUCGUGCACACACUCAGCUCAGGUGCUCCCCCUGAUCCCACCUCCCUCUGACCUCCAGCUGCAGGGAAGCACUGGAGCAACUCAUUAGGCAGGGCCACAGGUGAGUCGUUAGGACAACCUUCCCACCCUUCCCUCUGGAUGAGUGCCACCUGCACAGAUGGCUUCCUCUGGGCUCUGCUUUCUGCUGAAUUGUAGGUAUUGGAGCCUGCCUCAGAUCUAAUCUGCCUCUGCAUUGCUAGCUGGAACAGAGCUGUGUGGCUGGUUGUGAAAAAAGCUCAUAUUCCCUGAGAAAUACGAGGCUCCCUUCCUGUUUUGGGAUCUUUUACCUGCUUGUUAUAAGGAGUUUUUUUGAGGAUUGCCAGGAGAAGAGGAAAGCAUGUCAAACACGAAAUGCAUUGCAACAUCUAAAGAAGGUAAGUUAAAAUCUGAAUGGGCUGUUGGGAGCCUAACUCAAGCUAUAGCAGUAGCUGAUCAUUAACUUUUCCACAGUAGAGCAGGCAGUGCUACAAAAGCAUAUUACUAAGAUUAAUUAAUUUAGCACCACAACACCUCAUAACACCUCAUAAGUAGGUGGAUUACCUCCCUGAAUAGGGAAAAAGUAAUAGAAAAGUACUCUGUGGAAGUUAAUUGGAAGUACAUCAGCUGCACAGAGCCCCACACCUACUUGUAGCUUUAUACUCAUUGUAUAAAGCUAUAACAACAAUUCCCUCUUGUAGUUUUAAGCAAAGCAUUUGCCCUGCUAUUAGUGACCAGCUGGGAUUUGUGGUCAAGAUAUCCCACAUGGCAGCUCAUCCCUCCAGUUAUUAGAUGUUUUACUACUUAUUCCUUAAUUAAACACCUCUUUCUUUAGCACAGUAAUGUAGUGUAGCAGCAGGGAGCAGUGACUGAAGUCCAAAGAUGAUGGGAAUUUACAACUAUUUUCUUAGCAGAGGCAUCCAGCAGUGUCAUGAACUAGCACAAGCCAACCCCAGUGAAACCAGCAGAAGAAGGCUCAUAGCCAGCUGAGGUCCUGGAUGCCAGAAGCAGACAGAUGAAGCUGUAAGGAGCCCUUAGUUCAGUCUGGAAGCAAAUAUACAGGUUAAAGAAACACAGACCUAAACUGCUAAGAGCAGACAACCACUGAAGUGCCAUGGGAUGGUAGGUUUUGUGCAAAGGGUUUCUGUAUGUUUUGGAAUAUAAAAAUCUCCUUUUCCAGUUUACACUUCACAUAUAAUAGAAGAAACAUAUCCAUUUAAGCCCAAGAAGCAUGAAGCAGUUUACCUUCUAUUUCCUUCAGCUCUAAGCACUCUUCUCUUACCCUCCAGCAACAAACUGAAUAAGCACCUUCAGUUUUUAUAGCACUCCUGUUCCCCAGAAGCCUUUGCAGCCUCUUCCCUCCUCUUCCUCCUCCCCUGAUCUUUAUUUCAGUGGGCUAUAACCUACAAAAUUCAGCAUAGGUUUUAAUUGUUAUAGCCAUCUUUUUCUGCUGAAAUUGUGUUCUACUAAAUGCAAUAAUGCCUUCUUGCUUUUGUUUUGGAUGUAAAGAAUUUUAAUGAAAAAUAUUUUUAUAUCAUAGUGUAAACCCACUCAAACACUUUGACAUGUUCUUCUGUUGUGGAGUCAUCUGCCACAGCCCUGUCUAAAAUUUGGAGCUUGGGUCUCAAAGAGGGCAUCUCCUCAGAGGAAAGGAGGAGAAUUCUGCUGAUCAUGAGCGAAAGAUAGUGGUGUUUAAUCCUUUUGUGCAUGCUGUUGCUUCACUUUCAGUCUGCAGCUGAAAUUUUCCUGGAAUUGUUCAUAUGUAGCCUUUCUUCCUUGGUUCCAUCAGGCAGCAAGGCCUGAGGAAGGAUUUCAGUGUUUCAGUGUUGCUGUCCUUUGCACAACAGAAGGCAAACACUCCUGUGUGUCUGCUCCCUGACCUCCCAUAGAGCCCGUGGGUUUGCAGGGAAUAGGUGCACGUGACUAAACGUAUGAAGAAAUUCCUGGGGAUACUCACAUGCUUUGCAUGUGUCCAUCAGAGGGUCUCUGGAGCUGUGUGUUUUCUUCAGCAUGAUGAAGCUCUUGGGGAUGCUCUGCCAAUCUCUUCAAGAGACCUGAAGUAACAGAAUACUUUCAGUAGGACUUAAGAUCCAGACAGCAGGACAAUCCCUGUCCUAACACAAGGAAUGACUGCAGAAUAACUAGUGCUGGUUGUGGGCUGGCUACUGGAGUGAAAACUGCCUGGGGUAUGCCUUUGACAUGCUCUGGGGCUGUUCAAAACUUUGGGGGUUUGGUUUUGUUUAUCUGGUUGCUGCUGAAGAAGCUUUCCUUCCUCUGGUAUUUUAAAGGCAUGUGUUGUGACCUGUCACUUGCUAGAUUUGUUUGAUGUGAAAUUUGAGUCUGGCCAUGGAAAAACACACUGCAGGAAUGUGUUUAUUUUGCUCUCUGCUGGAGGUAACACUAGUUUCCAGUUUUCUUGAAGUUUCAGCCGAGUGUUGUGUUGUAAAUGUAAUAAUCACAUUCAGGAGGAAAAUUGGCAUGUGAGAUCUACAAAUGGAAGGCCCAGAACCUGCCACUUUGCUUUAGCUUCUCCCAAGCAAACAGCCACAUUCCCACCAAACUCACUGCAGAAAUGGUGCUGGAAACACCAAAGGUCAAAUUCCCAGCUAUGUCCAUCCUCCCUAGACACAAAGGCAGCCCGCUGAGCCUGUUGGCUUCAUCAGAUGGGAGAUACUCUCCAUAUUUCAAAAUACCAAAUGGAUUUUAAGGCCAUUUACUCCCAUCCUAAGAAAUUAAAGAAAUCAACUCAAACAAGCAAUGGAACCAAAGCAAACCCAUUUUUUUAAUGCUGCUUCACUGCAGAGAGAUUCAAACACAAUAAUUUGCUUUGCAAAUGCUCCCUGUUUAAAGUAACUGUUACAUGUAUGCAGAGUACUCCCAGUUCAUAUGACAAUACAAAGGUGUGGAGAGCUAAUUAAAACAGCUGAUAACCUGUUCAAAGCUUGAAGAAGAAAAAACCUGGACAAGCACUGCAUUUUGUUAUCCACAAACUUGUCUUUUUCUAAGUCAGGGUUAUUCUUAACUAAGAAAACAUUACAUGAAAAAAUUAUUUUACAUAGAUGAAUAAAAUGCUGUGUAUAAUUUUCAUUGCAGCAAAUCACAAUGUUGGAGCUAUUUUUUAUUCUUUUUAUUUUUUAUUCUUU
This is a long non-coding RNA of Pyrgilauda ruficollis (rufous-necked snowfinch), 4212 nucleotides long. RefSeq lists it as uncharacterized. NCBI's taxonomy places the organism in Eukaryota, Metazoa, Chordata, Aves, Passeriformes, Passeridae. The record is from RefSeq and is a predicted model, not a curated record. The transcript has 3 exons.